UGAGGCUCAAUGGCAGAAUGCUUGCUUUGCAUGCAUGAGGCCCUGGGUUCAAUUCCCAGCA
Molecule: transfer RNA, 61 nt
Filed under: Marmota marmota marmota (Alpine marmot)
Lineage: Eukaryota; Metazoa; Chordata; Mammalia; Rodentia; Sciuridae
Also listed under: 2 other names
Rfam family: tRNA
About the family: Transfer RNA (tRNA) molecules are approximately 80 nucleotides in length. Their secondary structure includes four short double-helical elements and three loops (D, anti-codon, and T loops).
Source: Rfam by way of RNAcentral